GUGGGGAAUAUUGGGCAAUGGGGGCAACCCUGACCCAGCGACGCCGCGUGGGUGAAGAAAUCCCUCGGGAUGUAAAGCCCUGUUGUAUGGGAAGAGCGGAAGACGGUACCAUACGAGGAAGCCCCGGCAAACUACGUGCCAGCAGCCGCGGUAAUACGUAGGGGGCAAGCGUUGUCCGGAAUUACUGGGCGUAAAGCGCACGCAGGCUGAAUUAUAAGUCGGUAGUAAAAGGCGGGGGCUCAACUUCCGUAUAUCUAUCGAUACUGUAAAUCUAGAGUAUGUGAGAGGGAAGCGGAAUUCGCGGUGUAGCGGUGAAAUGCGUAGAUAUCGGGAGGAACACAAGUGGCGAAGGCGGCUUCCUGGCACAAUACUGACGCUCAUGUGCGAAAGCUCGGGCAGCGAACGGGAUUAGAAACCCGUGUAGUCC
This 427-nucleotide ribosomal RNA is filed under the name uncultured bacterium. RNAcentral describes it as "partial 16S ribosomal RNA". It matches the Rfam family "Bacterial small subunit ribosomal RNA", at positions 354 to 796 of the family's 1533-position model. The record is from RNAcentral.